CCCCCCCCCCAAGAAUAAUUGCACAGUGCUGUCUAAGCAGCUGUAAAAGAAUGGCUUUCAUUUUUUUAGGUAGUCAUUAUUUGAGAAAACAAAGUAAAGACGGAUUUUAACCCCCUAGGGAUGUGUAAAAUGGGAAUAUAAGAAUUUUCAAGUUUUACAUAAAUACUUGUGGCUCUCUUCUUAAAAUAUCAAAAAGUUCUGCACAUGCAUUAAUGCUGUAAGUGGAGCUUCAGUAAGUUUGUAGUAAAUUUAAAAGUUGAGAUCUUAAGUAUUUGAAGUCCUAAGCAAUGGCAUCCUUUAAACUUUCCAUUUAGGUUCCUUGAAAAUAGAAGUUGCCAUUCUCAGGCCUGCUUUGGUGGUUGUAGCAGUUGCAGCGAACUUGGACUGUCGAAAGUGGAGUAGACAAACCAAGACACAGUGAACAUUCUAGAGUGUGGAUUUUUUAAGUAUAAUUCCUAUUAAGGUAUAAAGCACACAUGAAUAGUAGGAAUGGUAUCCCUGUGGCCUAAUUACAGCUGGGUUCCUUGGUAUUUUUAAUAUCCCAUCCUGAUGCAUGCUGCAAUCAAUGCCUGUAGCUUUUGAGACCUGGAGUAGGAAAGGUCACUUUCAGACUGUUGGAUAUUCAGCACAUGGUUGCUUAUUUUUGUAGUUCAUUAAUUGCCUGCUAAUUCCUGCCUAUAGAACCCCACUGAGGAUGUCAGUGGGGUUGGGGGAAACAGAGGAGGGUGAGUGAUGACUGUAUUGAGCCUUGGGUUGCUCCUGUAUACCUUGCCAGUGCCACUGCAUCUGCAUCUGGCCUGUGAAGCUCUUGUUCCAGAUCCAGCUUGCAGGGGGUCCUUCCAUCUCGACCUAGCACUGGGGCUGUGCAUAAGUUUGACACCCCAGGCCAAUGCUAAAAGCAACUGCGAAAAAAGCAUUGUGGGGGCCCAUCAUCAAACCAAAUAGAAUUGACAAGGUACAGGAAAGUAACUUGUUACCUCCUGUAUUAGAUGUGUAUAGUAUAUACUUGUUGUUUUUUAUAUAUAUAAAACCAUUUAAAUUAAUCUUGUGUACAGAAUAAAUUAAUGAAAAUAUCAUCUCACUUGAGCUGAACUUCUCUCUUCCUUUUCUGCUGUCUGUUGGCUCUGAUAUGUCUAAUGUAUCCAAAAUUCAUAAGCUGUCCUCUCUUGUUUUGAGGUGUCUGGCACCUACAUAAUAGUAGGCUAUUUCAAAUAGGCAAAGGUUGGAUAAUGCCAAAGAUCAGCAUGUUCAUUCUAGAGUGUACACUUUCUCAUUCCCUCACCCUUUCUAGCAGGAUUUGCUUGAAGUUGUUUAUUUCCUGGUGCAGCAAGAGGGGACUUGCCCUUGCUGACCUAGAGGCAGGUGAAGUCCCAGGGCUGCUCCUGUCCCAGGGGCUUCUGUGAUCAGCAGUAGAGGGUGCUAGGCUUGGCUGGGGACAGCAGCAGCAGUAGCUGGGUCCCUUGCUUCAGGCAUUUCUGCUAUCUGAUCAGUCCCCUGGGUGUACUUUGCUGACUGGGAGCAGGUGCUGGAAGGGGGAACUGCCUGGUGCUGGUGCCAUCCCUGGUCCAGCCCAGCAUGAGACACAGCUUGUCCCUGUAGCUGGAGCCCCCAGGGAAUGUGGAGAGAUAAGGAGCAGGGACUCAUCCAUUGCUGCCAAGCCUUGCACCCUGUACUGCAGCCAAGGGCUGGAACACAUGGGGAUAGCGGCAGCAGCAGUCGGGUCUUCCAUUCCUCGCCUUCUCCCUGCUUUCUCUGCCAGGUGUUAUAUGCCACACUGGGGCUUCAGCCUUGCCUCAGACUCUGCAGGGGACCCAGGCAUUGGGGUUGUGGAGAACUCGGUCCACAGUUAUGUGCCUUACGUUGCAGAUGGGGCAUGUGACUGUGACAUUGCACCCCCUUCCCCACCCCUGUUAGUGCAUAUGUGUACAUAGGCAUGCAUCCCUAAAGAUGGAUUUUUGAGAACAAAAUUUCAGUACCUUAAUUUGGAGUAGAAUCAUUUAUUAAUGGGUAAAAAAACCCCCAAACAACUUAAGGUAAGAUUUUCAAAGCAACUGUGAUUUAGGAGCAUAAAUCCAUGUGAUAAUCUAUUUACCAGGGGUAGCAUCUUCAAGUGAGUUGUGGAGGCCUGGGGCACAGUAAAAGUAUUUAAGUGUUGAAGCAUGUUUUUUUUAGUUACAUGAUUUAAACAUUGAUUUAAAAAAUAUAUGUAGUUCAGACUAAAAAUGCCACAAAACUGUUGCAGUUGAAUGGAACACUACCAGUUUUUAAACCAUGUUUCAUUUCAGCUCAUUCAGGGCUGUCUGACUCUUAUGCAGAUAUUUUAUUAUCUGGCUCAUGUUUUUUCUGCUAUGCUUUUCUUGAGCAUAUCUUUGAGGCUUUCUCUGCUGCAUACGAGUCUAUUCACUUUCAGCUGGAUAUCUAACCAAUAAUUAUGGACAGUGAAAUGCCUAGUUUCAGAUCUAUGCCCCGGGUGGGAUUUAGAGCUUUAGUAUACUUGGCCAAUAAUACAGCCAAGAGCAGCCUUUUCUUUUCCCAUAGCUGAUGUGUGCAUUCUUUCAGUUAAAUGUCUUUAGAACUAAUGCAGAAUAAUUUCUGGCACUCCAACAAAACUCACUUUUUAUUUUUAAAAUCAAAACUUAAUAAUUUUUAUAAAUAAUACACUAGACUUGAAAUCUGAAAUGUAUUAUGUCGUAUAUGAUUUGAAGAUUGACCUUUGAAUGUAAGCAGAUAAUUGGUUUACAUGCAUUAUGCUCCACCAAGGGAAACUUUUAGGUACAUUGAAUUAGGUUGUGCUUGCAUUUUGGUUCCAACUAGAAAUGGUGGACAAGCUUUGUGAGACUGGCAAUUAUUUAAAAUACCAUAUGAUGCUUAGUUAACUUAAAGUAGUUUACUUCUUAACUUAGUAGUUGAUAAGGCUGUUGUGCUACUUACAGUAAUAUCUCUGUUAUCUGGCAUUUUACUAACCAGAAUACUCUAUUAACCAGAAUUCUGGCUGGACGCAGGGGGAGGUGGAGGGAAAGCUUGCACAUGGCAGCCAUCGUGCCAUGCUAGCACUGCUCUGCAUCUGGCCGAAACGUCCACACUGUGCUGCCUCCACCCUGGCCAGCCCCUGCUCCCCCUUUCUGUGUCUGGCUGAAAACAGCUGGCCUUAGCAAACACCACAAACCUCGAGGCGAUGAUCAUCUGACAUCAACUUUAUUGGGCUUGUCACAUCACCCAGAUGUCCAACUCCAGACUCACGAAGCAAGUUUUAUUCUCCCAGCAUCAACAUCAAUUCAUGGGAAACUGUCUCCCAGGACCGCCCCAAAUGAGGGAAGAGUUUGCUGCAAGGAUCUUAUGAGCACAGUAGGAGAUGGAAAAGCAAGAGUGCCAGAAACUGUGUGGCUGACCAAAUCAAGAACAGAGCCACCCACACCACACAGAAACACAUGCCCGAGUUGCAGUAGAACCUGUUGGCCUUGUCAGCCAACUUCAGACCUACAGAUAAGGCAAUCUUGGAAGACAAUCAUCCUUGACUGCACAGGAUUGCCAAUGAAGAUGGUGCCCAAAAUAAAACUAUUAUCAAACAACUUGUUUAGAUUUGGAAGAGAAUUACCUCACUGAAGUUCCCUCUUACAGCUCUUAUAAGAAUGUUACCUCGUAACUCUUACAACACCAGAACUGCCAAUUUCAAGACCUUAAUGGAAGUUUUCUGUUUAUUGUUAACACGUGCAAGAAUAGUUUUAUUUUUUAUGAGACAUUGUUUUUAUUGUAAAAAAAUUGGUCAUAGUGACUUAUGCUGGUGAAUUAGUGAAGAAUAAAAAAGUUGCUAUUGA
This is a long non-coding RNA of Alligator mississippiensis (American alligator), 3815 nucleotides long. RefSeq lists it as uncharacterized. Lineage: Eukaryota; Metazoa; Chordata; Crocodylia; Alligatoridae. The transcript is spliced from 2 exons. The record is from RefSeq and is a predicted model, not a curated record.